CCUACGGGUGGCAGCAGUGGGGAAUAUUGGACAAUGGGCGAAAGCCUGAUCCAGCCAUGCCGCGUGUGUGAAGAAGGCCUUCGGGUUGUAAAGCACUUUCAGUGGGGAAGAAAGCCUUGGGGCUAAUACCCUCGAGGAAGGACAUCACCCACAGAAGAAGCACCGGCUAACUCCGUGCCAGCAGCCGCGGUAAUACGGAGGGUGCGAGCGUUAAUCGGAAUUACUGGGCGUAAAGCGCGCGUAGGCGGUCUGAUAAGCCGGUUGUGAAAGCCCCGGGCUCAACCUGGGAACGGCAUCCGGAACUGGCAGGCUAGAGUGCAGGAGAGGAAGGUAGAAUUCCCGGUGUAGCGGUGAAAUGCGUAGAGAUCGGGAGGAAUACCAGUGGCGAAGGCGGCCUACUGGACUGACACUGACGCUGAGGUGCGAAAGCGUGGGUAGCAAACAGGAUUAGAUACCCGAGUAGUC
RNAcentral lists this ribosomal RNA (465 nucleotides) under Vreelandella stevensii. RNAcentral describes it as "partial 16S ribosomal RNA". It matches the Rfam family "Bacterial small subunit ribosomal RNA", at positions 338 to 795 of the family's 1533-position model. The record is from RNAcentral. Lineage: Bacteria; Pseudomonadati; Pseudomonadota; Gammaproteobacteria; Oceanospirillales; Halomonadaceae.